Molecule: ribosomal RNA, 323 nt
Filed under: uncultured bacterium
Lineage: Bacteria
Description: bacterial SSU rRNA
Rfam family: Bacterial small subunit ribosomal RNA
Source: RNAcentral
GAUGAACGCUGGCGGCGUGCUUAACACAUGCAAGUCGAACGGGAAUUACUUUAUUGAAGCUUCGGUCGAUUUAAUUUAAUUCUAGUGGCGGACGGGUGAGUAACGCGUGGGUAACCUGCCUUGUACAGGGGGAUAACAGUCAGAAAUGGCUGCUAAUACCGCAUAAGCGCACAGAGCUGCAUGGCUCAGUGUGAAAAACUCCGGUGGUAUAAGAUGGACCCGCGUUGGAUUAGCUAGUUGGUGAGGUAACGGCUCACCAAGGCAACGAUACAUAGGGGGACUGAGAGGUUAACCCCCCACAUUGGUACUGAGACACGGACCAA